CCUACGGGGGGCAGCAGUGGGGAAUAUUGCGCAAUGGGCGAAAGCCUGACGCAGCGACGCCGCGUGAGGGAUGAAGGUCUUCGGAUCGUAAACCUCUGUCAGCAGGGAAGAACGGUCACUGUGCUAAUCAGCAGUGAAUUGACGGUACCUGCAAAGGAAGCACCGGCUAACUCCGUGCCAGCAGCCGCGGUAAUACGGGGGGUGCGAGCGUUAAUCGGAAUUACUGGGCGUAAAGCGCGCGUAGGCGGUAUGUCAAGUCAAGGGUGAAAUCCCCGCGCUCAACGUGGGAACUGCCUUUGAAACUGGCAGACUUGAGUGUGUGAGAGGAUAGUGGAAUUCCAGGUGUAGGAGUGAAAUCCGUAGAGAUCUGGAGGAACAUCAGUGGCGAAGGCGACUAUCUGGCCCAUAACUGACGCUGAGGAGCGAAAGCGUGGGUAGCAAACAGGAUUAGAUACCCCAGUAGUC
This 465-nucleotide ribosomal RNA is filed under the name uncultured bacterium. Its description in RNAcentral is "partial 16S ribosomal RNA". It matches the Rfam family "Bacterial small subunit ribosomal RNA", at positions 338 to 795 of the family's 1533-position model. The record is from RNAcentral.